GAUGAACGCUGGCGGCGUGCCUAAUACAUGCAAGUCGAGCGAACAGACGAGGAGCUUGCUCCUCUGACGUUAGCGGCGGACGGGUGAGUAACACGUGGAUAAUCUACCUAUAAGACUGGGAUAACUUCGGGAAACCGGAGCUUAUACCGGAUAAUAUAUUGAACCGCAUGGUUCAAUAGUGAAAGACGGUUUUGCUGUCACUUAUCGAUGGAUCUGCGCUGCAUUAGCUAGUUGGUAAGGUAACGGUUUACCAAGGCAACGAUGCGUAGCCGAGCUGAGAGGGUGAUCGGCCACACUGGGACUGAGACACGGUCCAGAGUCCUACGGGAGGCAGCAGUAGGGAAUCUUCCGCAAGGGGCGAAAACUUGACGGAGCAACGCCGCGGGAGUGAUGAAGGUCUUCGGAUCGUAAAACUCUGUUAUUGGGGAAGAACAAAUGUGUAAGUAACUAUGCACGUCAGGACGGUACCUAAUCAGAAAACCACGGCUAACUACGUG
This 497-nucleotide ribosomal RNA is filed under the name uncultured bacterium. RNAcentral describes it as "partial 16S ribosomal RNA". It matches the Rfam family "Bacterial small subunit ribosomal RNA", at positions 28 to 507 of the family's 1533-position model. The record is from RNAcentral.